AGCAAGAGCAAAUGGCGUGCAAAUGUUGAAUGGUUCAAGAUCGAGAAGCAGGAUCAAGUAAGCCUUUUCUGUCCCUCUCCAACGGAUACACCGAUUUCUUGAUUCCAUUUGUGAAAUGAUUGCCUCACAGCUAAGAGGAGGAAGAGCAACCAAACCCAUCACCCAAAUCGCUAAAAUCUUGCUCCAAAACCCACAGAAACACACUCCCAUAUCACCACCAACCCAAUGCCACCACAACCCUCCAUGGGUUUUACAGACCUCUGUCUAUUCAACCCAGUUUCCUGAGUAUGAGAUGCCCUCAGUCACUUGGGGUGUUGUCCAAGGCCGCAAGAGAGGCUUGUCUCUAGAGUCAUAAUAUGCGACUAUUUGAAGAGUUUAGGCAUAGUUCCAGAUGAAUUGGAGAACUUGGAGCUACCCUCUACUGUUGAGGUUAUGAGGGAAAGAGUUGAGUUCCUACAGAAGCUAGGACUGUCGAUCGACGACAUUAACGAGUACCCUUUGAUGCUUGGAUGUAGUGUGAGGAAAAAUAUGGUACCUGUGUUGGCUUACUUGGAGAAAAUUGGGAUUCAAAGGUCGAAGCUCUGUGAGUUUGUUAACAACUACCCACAAGUGUUACAUGCUAGUGUGGUAGUUGAGCUUGUUCCGGUGAUCAAGUUCCUUCGUGGGCUCGAUGUGGAGAAGAUGGAUAUUGGCUAUGUGUUGCAGAAGUAUCCAGAGCUUCUCGGAUAUAAGCUUGAGGGGACUAUGAGUACUUCUGUUGCAUAUCUUGUUAGUAUUGGUGUUACUCCUAGGGAUAUAGGUCCCAUGGUGACUCAGUAUCCUUACUUUGGGUAUGAGAGUUGGGACUGUGAUAAAGCCUUUUGUUGAUUAUUUGGUUUCCUUAGGUUUGCCAAAAAAGAUUUUGGCUAGGAUGUUGGAGAAGCGUGCAUAUUUAUUUGGUUAUGAUCUUGAGGAGACUAUUAAGCCUAAUGUGGAUUGUUUGGUUGCUUUUGGGAUCAGGAGGGAAGGACUUGCUUCUAUUGUUGCUCAAUACCCCCAAAUUCUUGGGCAGCCUCUGAAAGCUAAAAUGUCUUCACAGCAGUUCUUCUUCAGUAUGAAGCUUAAAAUUGAUCCUGAAGGGUUUGCAAGGGUGAUAGAGAAGAUGCCGCAGAUAGUAAGCCUUAAUCAACAUGUGAUAAUGAAGCCUGUUGAGUUCCUUCUUGGACGGGGCAUACCUUCAGAAGAUGUAGCCAAGAUGGUUGUAAAGUGUCCCCAAUUAGUGGCUCUGCGUGUUGAGCUCAUGAAGAACAGUUAUUACUUUUUUAAGAGCGAAAUUGGGAGACCAGUGAAAGAGCUUGUGGAAUUUCCGGAAUACUUUACUUAUAGUUUAGAAUCCAGGAUCAAACCUAGAUACCAGAGGUUGAAAAGCAAGGGGAUCAGGUGUUCUUUGAAGUGGUUCCUCAACUGCAGCGAUCUGAGAUUUGAGGAGAGGUUGCAAGGGGAGUACAUUGAAACAGAGAUUUCUGGUCCAUCAUUUUGUAUGGGAGGGAAGUUAGAGCUACCUGGGGUUGGAAAUGAAAUGGUGUCAGACGAGGAAGACGAGAAUGAAGAUGAAAUACUUUACAGACGCACUGUUUCCCUGUAGUGAAUUUGGUUGACAUUAGUAAACCUAAUCAGUUUGAGAUGUUACUGAUGUCUAAUUCUCUGUAUGUUUAUUAUGGUUCAAGUAUCCCCUUUGAGUAAAUCUCUUACUGCUUCUGGCCUUGUGAUCUAAGUCUGACAGGAUCAGUUUUAUGAGCUGUACUUGUUGGGACAUAGCUAAUGAAAUCUCUAUUUGAUCUGAAUCGUAGGGUGGCAAGGUUUGAAUAUGGCUUCAUGUAAAGGUUGGGAAUCAAUCAUGUUCUUAGUUAUCUCUCUGAAGCUUUGACAAUUCAAUUCAAUUGCUCCAAUUACUUCACCAACGGUCUGAAUCAGCCUUAUAAUCUGUGGUUUGGUAGAAAGCAGAAGACAGCAGGGAUCAUGUAGUUGAAGCAAAGGAAGCAGCAGUUCAUGAGGUCGCGGAGCUUUUGCCUCUUUUUUAAUCACCUUCAGUGUAUAGCUUCCACCAAGGCUAAUUACAGUAGUUGCUAGUAGGUUCCUCCAUUUUUCCUCAUUUCCUACUAAAUUUUCUAUAGAACUGUGGUUUUCUGCUGCUAUCAUAUAUGAGUUGAAACAUAACUUUUACUAUCAAAGUUGAACUAUAUUAGAACAUAUUUCAGAAAAACUUGUAUUUUCUGGUAAUUUGUUACUUUUUUAUAAAAUUUUGCUGAACCUUUGUCCAAUCUGAUUAUUUA
Molecule: RNA transcript, 2312 nt
Organism: Fragaria vesca subsp. vesca
Lineage: Eukaryota; Viridiplantae; Streptophyta; Magnoliopsida; Rosales; Rosaceae
Exons: 1
Source: RefSeq, a predicted model, not a curated record